CACCAUGAUUCCAUGGGGCUUGUCUGGAGUGGCAUUUCCCCUUCCUAGUCAUGGAAAAGUAUAUACUUCAUUUUAAUGUAGCUGUCUCAACAAAAUUGGUUACAGUUAUUAAAAUGCAAGUGACAGUU
This is a small nucleolar RNA of Spea bombifrons (plains spadefoot toad), 128 nucleotides long. RefSeq annotates it as small nucleolar RNA SNORA24. The record is from RefSeq and is a predicted model, not a curated record. Lineage: Eukaryota; Metazoa; Chordata; Amphibia; Anura; Pelobatidae. The transcript has a single exon.